GACGGAUCCGGCUCGCUUUCUCCGGUCUCUUUCAUUGGCGAUAAGGAGAGAGGGGCACAGCGAUGCACGCGGUGGCAGCGCCGCGGCCGGCGCUCGUUGCCCUUCCGCCUCGACCGGCGGCGGUGAUUCGUUCCCUCGAGCAGAUGCGGUGGAGGUCACUGUCCAUGCUCCUCCUACCCACGAGGAGAGCGAAGAGGGGUAUGGCAGUGCGCAUGGCACCCGAAGAGGAGAAGAUGACCCGCCGCUCUCCGCUCGAUUUCCCCAUCGAGUGGGAAAGACCGAAGCCUGGACGAAGGCCUGAUAUAUUUCCGAAAUUUAGCCCGAUGAAAACACCGCUGCCCACUCCAUUGCCGACAGACCCUCCUGAAGAAGACGAGGAAGAGAAUGAAGAAGAAGAAAAAGAAGAGGAUCCCGACAAGGAAGAGCCCGAGGAACCAGAGGUAAGUACUUAGAUGUAAAAGAACCAUUCACGUGAAGGAGUUACUUAGUGUUAUAUUAGAUUCCGAUAUUUUGCAACAUAAGUAGCCUUUAACUUGUUUCCUCUUCUGAGAGUAUGUUAUAUCGCUAGAUCUUUUCUCAAAAUAAAAUGUCAUAUUAGCGGAUUGCAUUU
Molecule: long non-coding RNA, 610 nt
Organism: Musa acuminata AAA Group (dessert banana)
Lineage: Eukaryota; Viridiplantae; Streptophyta; Magnoliopsida; Zingiberales; Musaceae
Exons: 2
Source: RefSeq, a predicted model, not a curated record